Phascolarctos cinereus (koala) is the source of this 300-nucleotide unclassified non-coding RNA. It matches the Rfam family "Metazoan signal recognition particle RNA". From Rfam's summary of the family: The signal recognition particle (SRP) is a universally conserved ribonucleoprotein. NCBI's taxonomy places the organism in Eukaryota, Metazoa, Chordata, Mammalia, Diprotodontia, Phascolarctidae. The record is from Ensembl.
GCUGGGCAUGGUGGUGUAUGCCCAUAAUCUCUACUGCCAGGGAGGCUAAGGUUGGUGGAUUGCUUGAGUUCAGAAGUUCUGGGCUACAGUAGGGCUAAAGUCAAUUGGGUGUCUGCACUAAGGGAGCAAAAAUAUACGGAGAUCCUCUGAGAGCAAUGGACCAUCAGGAUGUUUAAGAAGGAGCAAACCAGUUUACGUUGGAAACAAAGCAGGUCAAAACUUCUAUACCAGUUAGCAGUGGGAUUGGCCCAAUGAGUGGCCAUUGCAUUUCCAGCCUGGGUGAGAUAGAAUACACAUACA